This 2242-nucleotide ribosomal RNA is filed under the name Clostridioides difficile. Its description in RNAcentral is "bacterial LSU rRNA". It matches the Rfam family "Bacterial large subunit ribosomal RNA", at positions 662 to 2925 of the family's 2925-position model. The record is from RNAcentral. Lineage: Bacteria; Bacillati; Bacillota; Clostridia; Peptostreptococcales; Peptostreptococcaceae.
GGAGCCGUAGCGAAAGCGAGUUUUAACUGAGCGUUCAGUUACUUGACGUAGACCCGAAACCGGGCGACCUACCCAUGAGCAGGAUGAAGCGAAAGUAAAAUUUCGUGGAGGUCCGAACCCACGAGCGUUGAAAAGCUCGGGGAUGACUUGUGGGUAGCGGUGAAAUUCCAAUCGAGCCCGGAGAUAGCUGGUUCUCCCCGAAAUAGCUUUAGGGCUAGCCUCAAGGUGAGAGAUACGGAGGUAGAGCACUGAAUGUCCUAGGGGGUAUUGCACCUACCGAAGACUAUCAAACUCCGAAUGCCGUCAUCUUAUACUUGGGAGUCAGACUGUGGGUGAUAAGAUUCAUAGUCGAAAGGGCAACAGCCCAGAUCGUCAGCUAAGGUCCCUAAAUGUAAGUUAAGUGGUAAAGGAUGUGGGAUUGCACAGACAACCAGGAUGUUGGCUUAGAAGCAGCCACUCAUUCAAAGAGUGCGUAAUAGCUCACUGGUCGAGUGAUCCUGCGCCGAAGAUUUCCGGGGCUAAAACUUACUACCGAAGCUACGGCAUCAGUAAUGAUGGGUAGGGGAGCUUCCCAUACGGGUUGAAGCAUGACCGUAAGGACAUGUGGACAGUAUGGGAGUGAGAAUGUUGGCAUGAGUAGCGAGAUGUGGGUGAGAAUCCCACAGGCCGUAAACCCAAGGUUUCCAGGGGAAGGUUCGUCCGCCCUGGGUUAGUCGGGACCUAAGCUGAGGCCGAAAGGCGUAGGUGAUGGACAACAGGUUGAUAUUCCUGUACUACCGAUAACCGUUUGAGAGAAGGGAUGACACAGUAGGAUAAGCUAAGCACACUGUUGGUUAUGUGUGCCCAAGCAUUGAGGCAGUCAAAGUAGGCAAAUCCGCUUUGAUAAUGCUGGGAUGUGAUGGGGAGCGAAAUUUAGUAGCGAAGUAGCUGAUUUCACACUGUCAAGAAAAGUCUCUAUCGAGGUUAAAGGUACCCGUACCGCAAACCGACACAGGUGGGUGAGGAGAGUAUCCUAAGGCCAGCGAGAGAACUGUUGUUAAGGAACUCGGCAAAAUGACCCCGUAACUUAGGGAUAAGGGGUGCCACCAUCAGGUGGCCGCAGAGAAUAGGCCCAAGCGACUGUUUACCAAAAACAUAGGUUUCUGCUAAGUCGCAAGACGAUGUAUAGGAGCUGACGCCUGCCCGGUGCUGGAAGGUUAAGGGGAUCUGUUAGAGCAAUCGAAGCAGUGAACUUAAGCCCCAGUAAACGGCGGCCGUAACUAUAACGGUCCUAAGGUAGCGAAAUUCCUUGUCGGGUAAGUUCCGACCCGCACGAAAGGCGUAACGAUUUGGGCACUGUCUCAACAACAGACUCGGUGAAAUUGUAAUUCCGGUGAAGAUGCCGGAUACCUGCGACAGGACGGAAAGACCCCAUGGAGCUUUACUGUAGCUUGACAUUGGGUCUUGGUACUACAUGUACAGGAUAGGUGGGAGGCUUUGAAACCAGGACGCCAGUUUUGGCGGAGCCAUCCUUGGGAUACCACCCUUGUAGUACUGGGACUCUAACCAUAGGCCAUGAAUCUGGUCUUGGGACACUGUCAGGUGGGCAGUUUGACUGGGGCGGUCGCCUCCCAAAAGGUAACGGAGGCGCUCAAAGGUUCUCUCAGUACGGUCGGAAAUCGUACGUAGAGUGUAAAGGCAAAAGAGAGCUUGAUUGCAAGACAUACAGGUCGAGCAAGGAUGAAAAUCGGACUUAGUGAUCCGGUGGUUCUGCGUGGAAGGGCCAUCGCUCAACGGAUAAAAGCUACCCUGGGGAUAACAGGCUUAUCUCCCCCAAGAGUCCACAUCGACGGGGAGGUUUGGCACCUCGAUGUCGGCUCAUCACAUCCUGGGGCUGUAGUAGGUCCCAAGGGUUGGGCUGUUCGCCCAUUAAAGUGGUACGCGAGCUGGGUUCAGAACGUCGUGAGACAGUUCGGUCCCUAUCCGUCGCAGGCGUAGGAAAUUUGAGAAGACCUGUCCUUAGUACGAGAGGACCGGGAUGGACGUACCUCUGGUGUACCAGUUGUUCUGCCAAGGGCAUGGCUGGGUAGCUAUGUACGGAAUGGAUAAGCGCUGAAAGCAUCUAAGCGCGAAGCCAACUUCAAGAUAAGAUUUCCCACCGCAAGGGUAAGACCCCAGAAAGACUAUCUGGUUGAUAGGUCGAAGGUGUAAGUGCAGCAAUGUAUUUAGCUUAUCGAUACUAAUAGGUCGAGGACUUGACCAA